This 578-nucleotide ribosomal RNA is filed under the name Phoma sp. SR/II/54. RNAcentral's name for it is "eukaryotic LSU rRNA". The stretch from base 204 to 356 matches the Rfam family "5.8S ribosomal RNA". Lineage: Eukaryota; Fungi; Ascomycota; Dothideomycetes; Pleosporales; Didymellaceae. The record is from RNAcentral.
GGGGUUUUCUGUAGGGUGAACCUGCGGAGGGAUCAUUACACAAAUAUGAAGGCGGGCUGGAACCUCUCGGGGUUACAGCCUUGCUGAAUUAUUCACCCUUGUCUUUUGCGUACUUCUUGUUUCCUUGGUGGGUUCGCCCACCACUAGGACAAACAUAAACCUUUUGUAAUUGCGAUCAGCGUCAGUAACAAAUUAAUAAUUACAACUUUCAACAACGGAUCUCUUGGUUCUGGCAUCGAUGAAGAACGCAGCGAAAUGCGAUAAGUAGUGUGAAUUGCAGAAUUCAGUGAAUCAUCGAAUCUUUGAACGCACACUGCGCCCUUUGGUAUUCCAAAGGGCGGCCUGUUCGAGCGUCAUUUGUACCCUCCAGCUUUGCUUGGUGUUGGGCGUCUUGUCUCUAGCUUUGCUGGAGACUCGCCUUAAAGUAAUUGGCAGCCGGCCUACUGGUUUCGGAGCGCAGCACAAGUCGCACUCUCUAUCAGCAAAGGUCUAGCAUCCAUUAAGCCUUUUUUUCAACUUUUGACCUCGGAUCAGGUAGGGAUACCCGCUGAACUUAAGCAUAUCAAUAAGCGGAGGAA